AUGAGAGGCGUGUGCAGGAAUUCAGGCAGGCUGCAACAAGCAGCAGGAAGCACGUGGAUGGCUCUUGGCAACUACCUCCGUGGGACUCAGCAUCAGUACCCGGCAAUAUCAGUCAAACCCCCACACAUCUGUAUGAGCAGCUGGACGUCUGCCCUGUUUUUGUGCAAUUUGUUCGCACAAAAGGAUUAUUCCAUUUGGGCUGAUAAAGGUGAUAUUUCCACAAAAGAAUAAGUUGAGAACUUUGCCUGAUGUCCAAGCUGAGUCUGCAAGUGUGGUCUACGAGAAAGAGUGGCUUGUUUGAAGGACCAACCACAGCAAAACUGUGGGUCCAGAGAUGAUUUGUCUGUGGGAUUCCAUAACUGUGGAUAAAAACCUCAUUAAAAGUCACUCAUCUGUUUGUAUUCUUUAACACAUUUGCAUAGGCUACGACACCUUUUUUUUUAAGUUUCCAUGUCUACUGCAAAAAAAAAAAAAUCUUUUCUCUAUUUUCGGCAUUAAAA
This 500-nucleotide long non-coding RNA is filed under the name Vulpes vulpes (red fox). RNAcentral's name for it is "lncRNA (ENSVVUG00000025588.1)". The record is from RNAcentral. Lineage: Eukaryota; Metazoa; Chordata; Mammalia; Carnivora; Canidae.